GAUGAACGCUGGCGGCGUGCCUAAUACAUGCAAGUCGAGCGAACAGACGAGGAGCUUGCUCCUCUGACGUUAGCGGCGGACGGGUGAGUAACACGUGGAUAACCUACCUAUAAGACUGGGAUAACUUCGGGAAACCGGAGCUAAUACCGGAUAAUAUAUUGAACCGCAUGGUUCAAUAGUGAAAGACGGUUUUGCUGUCCCUUAUAGAUGGAUCCGCGCUGCCUUAGCUAGUUGGUAAGGUAACGGCUUACCAAGGCGACGAUGCGUAGCCGACCUGAGAGGAGGAUCGGCCACACUGGAACUGAGACACGGUCCAGACUGCGACGGGAGGCAGCAGUAGGGAAUCUUCCGCAAUGGGCGAAAGCCUGACGGAGCAACGCCGCGUGAGUGAUGAAGGUCUUCGGAUCGUAAAACUCUGUUAUUAGGGAAGAACAAAUGUGUAAGUAACUAUGCACGUCUUGACGGUACCUAAUCAGAAAGCCACGGCUAACUCCGUG
This 497-nucleotide ribosomal RNA is filed under the name uncultured bacterium. RNAcentral's name for it is "partial 16S ribosomal RNA". It matches the Rfam family "Bacterial small subunit ribosomal RNA", at positions 28 to 507 of the family's 1533-position model. The record is from RNAcentral.